GUGCUCAUUUCAAUAGCACAUAUAUAGUGAAGUUGGAACAAUACAGAGAAGAUUAGCAUAGCUCCUAUGCAAGAUGACAUGCCAAUUUUCAAGCAUUCCAUAUUUUA
This is a small nuclear RNA of Ochotona princeps (American pika), 107 nucleotides long. Lineage: Eukaryota; Metazoa; Chordata; Mammalia; Lagomorpha; Ochotonidae. The record is from Ensembl.